GCCAAAGCAAAGCAGCUACAGGUGAGUCCUCUUGCCUGUAGAUGUCUCAGAGGCACCAGUACAGAUGGAAAAUAAAAUCCAUCAAUAAUAUGUUAUCAAUGGUGACCUAGAGAUACUCUGAUUUUCAAGGGAACAGACUGCGUAUCAGUGUGGAAUACAAAGAAUGGCAGAAAUAUCUAUGGGAAAGGAAAAGGGAGAAGGCACUUCGUGCAAUACAUGAAGCUUCUUUUCAGAAGAAUCAGUCCCCACAGUAUUCAUGCAAGCAAGCUCAUGCAUAGUCAAAGGAUUUGCCAAACUGAGCCUCCAUCCAGAAGAUUCUCAUCAACAAUGGAGGCCUGACAUUCUGUAUCAACUGCCCUCACAUUAAGAUCUUCACCAGAGGUUCUUCUCCAAGUGCCCUUGCUUUCCGAGAUUAGAUAGGUGAUGAUCUGACACAGAGACUUUUCAGUGGUUCUCAUGUCAGUUGGGUAACAUACUACAUAGGGAUAACUUUUAGAUGCCUGGUAAAAAACAAACCGAUUUUGCCAAAUGUUUGAUUGGGUGGCUUAUUUUGUUGCCUUGACAUUUUUACUAAUGUUUCUGUUUUGAAUGACAUUUCUUCUUUUACUGCUGUUUUAUUGGGUUUUGGUUUUUAGAUUUGAUAGUACUUAAUUUUUGUCAGUAACCUUUCUGAAAAGUGGUUUCUUCUACUGAAAAGCAAAAUAUUUUAUUGUAAAGUGUAAGUUAAUAGCAUAACUUACUUUUUAGUUCUUCAUUAAAACCAAUAUUUGAACUGUGUUAAUUUCAGACAAGAUCAAAAAGAGAGCUUCCUGCAUUCAUAAACUUGAUGUUUUAUGUAUGUUAUUACUGAAGUUUUACUAUAUUUGUUUGGACAUAUAACAAGUUCUGUUUUUAAACUCUUGUUAUUACAAUGUUUGUCCUGCUUUUAUAUAUUGGUAUGACUUAAGGCAGAAAUUAAACAGAACUUGCUUUGC
This is a long non-coding RNA of Hemicordylus capensis (graceful crag lizard), 974 nucleotides long. RefSeq lists it as uncharacterized. NCBI's taxonomy places the organism in Eukaryota, Metazoa, Chordata, Lepidosauria, Squamata, Cordylidae. The record is from RefSeq and is a predicted model, not a curated record. The transcript has 2 exons.